This 492-nucleotide ribosomal RNA is filed under the name uncultured bacterium. RNAcentral describes it as "partial 16S ribosomal RNA". It matches the Rfam family "Bacterial small subunit ribosomal RNA", at positions 29 to 507 of the family's 1533-position model. The record is from RNAcentral.
AGUGAACGCUGGCGGUAGGCCUAACACAUACAAGUCGAACGGCAGCACAGUAAGAGCUUGCUCUUACGGGUGGCGAGUGGCGGACGGGUGAGGAAUACAUCGGAAUCUACUUUUUCGUGGGGGAUAACGUAGGGAAACUUACGCUAAUACCGCAUACGACCUACGGGUGAAAGCAGGGGAUCUUCGGACCUUGCGCGAUUGAAUGAGCCGAUGUCGGAUUAGCUAGUUGGCGGGGUAAAGGCCCACCAAGGCGACGAUCCGUAGCUGGUCUGAGAGGAUGAUCAGCCACAUUGGAACUGAGACACGGUCCAGACUCCUACGGGAGGCAGCAGUGGGGAAUAUUGGACAAUGGGCGCAAGCCUGAUCCAGCCAUACCGCGUGGGUGAAGAAGGCCUUCGGGUUGUAAAGCCCUUUUGUUGGGAAAGAAAAGCAGCAGGUUAAUACCCCGCUGUUCUGACGGUACCCAAAGAAUAAGCACCGGCUAACUUCGUG